RNAcentral lists this ribosomal RNA (1431 nucleotides) under Triticum aestivum (bread wheat). RNAcentral's name for it is "partial small subunit ribosomal RNA". The record is from RNAcentral. Lineage: Eukaryota; Viridiplantae; Streptophyta; Magnoliopsida; Poales; Poaceae.
AUGUCACGCCUCCAGCCCCGCUCCUCACGCGCCAACGAGCUGCUAGACGAAUUCAAAUAUCAUCUGGGCUCCGGGACGCUCUGGCCGGAGCUCGCGCACCAACUGUUCGACGAAUUGCUGCGCCAACCCGUCCCGGUUUCAGCGCGCGCACUCAACGGCUUGUUUGCUGCCCUCGCGGAUGCGCCGCCCUCGGCCAACUGCGCAGAUGGCCCUGCCCUAGCCAUCAAUCUCUUCAACCGCCACCGGAUAUCACCUAACAUUUACACCUACAACAUACUAAUUGAGUGCUGCCACAGAGCAUGCCGCCCAGACCUAGGGCCUGCCUUCUUCGGCCGCCUCCUCAAGGCAGGCAUCACAAUGAGCGUCAUUACCUACAACAGCUUAUUCAAGUGCCUCUGUGACAUGAAGCGCACGGAGGAGGCUUCCGACGUGCUGCUCCACAGGAUGCCUGACGACCUGCCUGAUGUCAUCUCCUACUCAGUAAUUCUCAAGAGUUUCUGCGACAGUGGGAGGAGCCAGCGUGCGCUUGACCUGCUCCGGGUGAUGGCCAAAAAAGGUGGUGACUACUCUCCCAACGUGAUUUCAUACAACAUGGUAAUGGAUGGCUUUUUUAAGGAGGGUGAAGUAAGCAAAGCACGUGUUCUAUUCCACGAAAUGAUACAACAGGGGGUUGUGCCUACUGAGGUGACAUAUAGCUCCAUAAUCAAUGCGCUAUGCAAAGCAAGAGCAAUGGAUAAGGCGGAGGUGAUCCUUCGACAUAUGGUUCGUAGUGGUGUCCAACCACAUGAUAGGAUAUAUAAUACCCUGAUCCAUGGAUUUUUAACUUCAGGUCAGCUGAAAGAAGCCUUUAGGCUGUUGAAACUGAUGACAAGCCAAGGUGUUAUGCCAAGCGUUGUUACCUACAACUCACUCAUGACCUACCUUUGCAAGAAUGGAAGAUUCAAGGAAGCUGUAGAACUUUUUUAUUCAAUGGCUGUGAAGGGCCAAAAACCUAGUGUCGUCUCAUACUCUAUAAUACUCCAUGGGUACGCUAUAGAAGGAUCCCUUGUUAAAAUGAUUGAUCUCUGUGAGCUGAUGGCAAGAGACGGAGUUGUACCUAACCUCCAUUGUUUCAACAUACUGAUUAAUGCGUAUGCUAAGUAUGGCAUGAUGGACGUGGCCAUGCUUUUCUUCGAAGACAUGUUGAAGCAGGGUGUGAAGCCUAAUGAAUUCACUUAUUUAACUGUGAUAUCUGCGUUUUGCAAGAUGGGCAGGAUGGAUGAUGCGAUGGAAAAAUUCAGUGAGAUGAUUAAUAUGGGAGUACCACUUGACACAGAAGUUUACAUGUGCAUGGUUGAGGGUUAUUUGAAUCUUGGCAAUUCCAUGAAAGCCAAGGAAUUUAUUACCAAAAUGAAGAACAGGGAUAUUCAUCAUAGGCCACGGAAAGGUAAU